ACUCAAAGGAAUAGACGGGGGCUCACACAAGCGGUGGAGCAUGUGGCUCAAUUCGAAGCAACGCGAAGAACCUUACCUGGGUUUGACAUGCACGGAUUAACUCCCGGAAACGGGAGCCACACCCUUCGGGUGGAACGUGCACAGGUGCUGCAUGGCUGUCGUCAGCUCGUGCUGUGAAGUGUCGGGUUAAGUCCCUCAACGAGCGAAACCCCUGUCGAUAGUUGCUAACGGGUAAUGCCGAGGACUCUAUCGAGACCGCCGGUGUCAAACCGGAGGAAGGUGGGGAUGACGUCAAGUCCUCAUGGCCUUUAUGCCCAGGGCUGCACACGUGCUACAAUGGCGUCGACAGAAUGAUGCAAGACCGCAAGGUGGAGCAAAACGCUUAAAAGACGCCCCAGUUCGGAUUGGAGGCUGCAAUUCGCCUCCAUGAAGUCGGAAUCGCUAGUAAUCGCGGAUCAGCUACGCCGCGGUGAAUAAGUUCCUGAGCCUUGUACACACCGCCCGU
This 505-nucleotide ribosomal RNA is filed under the name uncultured bacterium. RNAcentral's name for it is "partial 16S ribosomal RNA". It matches the Rfam family "Bacterial small subunit ribosomal RNA", at positions 899 to 1397 of the family's 1533-position model. The record is from RNAcentral.